CAGUCGCCACGGUAAUACGAAGGGUGCAAGCGUUAAUCGGAAUUACUGGGCGUAAAGCGUGCGCAGGCGGUUUGUUAAGACAGAUGUGAAAUCCCCGGGCUCAACCUGGGAACUGCAUUUGUGACUGGCAAGCUAGAGUGUGGCAGAGGGGGGUGGAAUUCCGCGUGUAGCAGUGAAAUGCGUAGAUAUGCGGAGGAACACCGAUGGCGAAGGCAGCCCCCUGGGCCAACACUGACGCUCAUGCACGAAAGCGUGGGGAGCAAACAGGAUUAGAGACCCCUGUAGUCCCUGUCUCUUAUAC
Molecule: ribosomal RNA, 301 nt
Filed under: uncultured bacterium
Lineage: Bacteria
Description: partial 16S ribosomal RNA
Rfam family: Bacterial small subunit ribosomal RNA
Source: RNAcentral